Molecule: ribosomal RNA, 512 nt
Filed under: bacterium MB-18
Lineage: Bacteria
Description: bacterial SSU rRNA
Rfam family: Bacterial small subunit ribosomal RNA
Source: RNAcentral
AAUGCAUAGGAAACUGCCCAGUAGUGGGGGAUAGCCCGGGGAAACCCGGAUUAAUACCGCAUACGCCCUUCGGGGGAAAGCAGGGGAUCUUCGGACCUUGCGCUAUUGGAUGUGCCUAUGUCGGAUUAGCUAGUUGGUGGGGUAAGAGCCUACCAAGGCGACGAUCCGUAGCUGGUCUGAGAGGAUGAUCAGCCACAUCGGGACUGAGACACGGCCCGAACUCCUACGGGAGGCAGCAGUGGGGAAUAUUGGACAAUGGGGGCAACCCUGAUCCAGCCAUGCCGCGUGUGUGAAGAAGGCUUUCGGGUUGUAAAGCACUUUCAGUGAGGAGGAAAACCUUACGACUAAUACUCGUGAGGCUUGACGUUACUCACAGAAGAAGCACCGGCUAACUCCGUGCCAGCAGCCGCGGUAAUACGGAGGGUGCAAGCGUUAAUCGGAAUUACUGGGCGUAAAGCGCGCGUAGGUGGUUUGAUAAGCGAGAUGUGAAAGCCCCGGGCUCAACCUGGGAA